UAGACCAAAUAGGAAGUGGACUUUCCUGACCAGCCUGGGAAAAGUCUGAGCAAAGUCUUCAGGGGCAAAUACAGCUUACUCAGACAAAAAAGGCAGUCAGUGGCAAGUCUAGGCAGACGCCAGGAGGUGUUAGGAACAGACUAGAAGAUAUGGUUGUUCUGGAGGAAAAAGUGUAUAACUUAAGAGAACUGUAAAAAUUAACGGACUGCUACGACGUGCUGUUAAGGAAAUAACAGGCACCUGGGAAAACCCACGAAGGAAGGUUUUGUAAGAAGUUGCUCUGCUCCCCACGAGAAAAUGCCGAGCUCAACACGGCCAAGAGGAACAAGUCUGGGAAAUUACGACAUGAGAUGUGACCAGAUGUUGAUGACCUCACGUAAGCUGUGGAAGAAUUCCGUUGUAGCUGGGGAGACAAUAAAGAUGGAGUUUCAUUCUUUUGCCCAGGCUGGAGUGCAGUGGUGUGAUCUCGGCUCACGGCAACCUCCACCUCCCAGCGAUUCUCCUGCUUCCGCCUUCCGAGUAGCUACAGAUUGCAGCGAUGGGGUCUUGCUGUGUUGCCCAGGCUGGCCUCAAACUCCUGACUUCAAGAGAUUCUCCCUGUCCUGGCCUCCCAAAGCGCUAGGAUUACAGAUGGGUCUUUAAUUUUGAAAUGCACAGUUUAAGGAGAUUACUAACCACUGAAUAGACCACUUUUUUCUUACCUUAUUGAGCAUCUACUUGGAGAGAGUCAAACCCAGAAUCCCUUUGAAUUUAAUGGUCAUUCCUUGUGAUCUGAACAGCCAAAUAAGAAACAGGUUCUCUUCGGUGUAAAAUCUGCCAAGUAUAAGGUCUGAAUGACCAUCAUUAUUAUGUGUUUAAUGUGCAUAGAAAAGUUAACUGCAACCUUCCAGAGUGUGCCAGAAGUUUGGAAUGUACAUUAUCAUUGGCUCCAUCUGAAACCAGUCAUAAAUCAAAGAAAAUAGCAGUUCCAGGGGAAUCAUAGAGGCUUCCAGGCCCCUGCUCUUUGUGAACCUGGCGAGAAAGGGAAGUCUGCUCUCACUGGACACUGGAACUGUUUGUCUCUGUCUCUGCUGUACUGUUCCUACCUCUGCCUCACUUAAUGGUGAAAUCAUCUUUGCUUGAUGACUAAAACAACCAAUAAGGUUGAGAAAGGGGAAAACCCACUUCUGCAUUCAAAUACAAGAGGCUCUCUCUAUUGCCCAGGCUGGAAUGCAGUGGUGUGAUCUCAGCUCUCUGUAACCUCCGCCUUCUGGGUUCAAGCAAUUCUCCUGCUUCAGCCUCCCAAACAGAUGGGAUCAUAGGUGUGUAUCACCAUGCCAGGCUAAUGUUUUAUAAUUUUAGUAGAGACAGGGUUUUGCCAUGUUGGCCAGGCUGGUCUCGAACUUCUGACCUCAGGUGAUCCAUCCACCUUGGCCUCCCAAAGUACUGGGAUUUAAGGCAUGAGCCACUGGGCCUGGCCUCAAAUAUUUUACUAUAACAAAUCAGUAUAGGCCAAAAGAAGUUAGAAAUUGAAGCUAAUGGAAAUAAAGAAGAGGCUUUCCUUUUAGUAUCUAUGGGGGUGUGUGUGUUUGUUAUUUAGGGAAGGUAACAGGGAACUUGGAGCAUAUUUAUUUAUGUUUUCUUAGCUUAGGCAUAUAUGGUAUAUUUAGUCACGUAGUAAGUUUUUUAUUUAGAAGUUAUGUAUAGAGCAUUUUUUCUAGGCCAGUGGGGAAUAAACAAGAAAUAUAAGAAGUAUCUGCCCUCUGGAAGCUUGUAAUCUAGUUAGGGGUAUCACAAGUGUUCACUAGUAGCAGAGAAGCAUGUGAUGAGUAGACAGAGCUUAUAUUGAGAAAAGGUAUAUAAGAGUUCAGAGGAGGCCAUCAUUGAUUUUCAUCAAGAGUAUAGGACAGAAGGACAAGACAUAGGGUUGGGCAUCUAGUUUUGUGCACUGACAAGAAUUUUGCAGGGUUAGGCGUGUUUGAAAACUACAAGGAAGACAGAAUCUUGGUCUUGUUUUCCAACAUGCCCUUUCUUGAACUCACCAGGGUAAUGCUGCAUCUUCUCAGAAAUGCCUCUGGCUUCUCAAAGCAACAUUCAUCUUGGGGAGGAACAAUUAAUCUUUGUCUUUCAUUAGUAAAAGAUUUAAUGGCUCAGAAGGAAAAGCUAGUGGUGACUUUUCAAUCACCCCUUCUACCUCCCAGGUUUUUCUGAGAAGUCUCCAAGUUUCCUGUGGGAGAACAUGCAAUAUAUUUAGCAACAAGUUCCUCCUUGCCCUGAAGUAUGCCAGAAACAAACUUUGAAAGCUCAUGGAAGAUACAGAGAACUUGUGGGUUUUGUUACUUGGCAACUGAGAUCUGAGCUGUUAAAAUAAGACAUUUGCAUUAUUUUAUAAUUCUAAAAAUGCAAUUCAUGUUAUUUUCUUUUCUAGAGGGGUAACAUAAAAUUAUUUUAGCUUCAUUGUUUCAAAAUCUCAGACUUAUUAGGCUGGCUUUCCUGUGCUGUGCUGUUGUGAUUACACUGAGUGGAUACCUCCUGGACUGCAGGUAAAGCAAUAAGUCUAGCUAGAGUUCCUAGAAACAUCACAAGAGAGCCAAGUAAAUAUCCAGAGAAUCGGAAUAGUUUUUAUCAGGGAAUUAGGAAAACUCCCUUGCAUAUAGUGGAGGUGGAAGAGAACCCUGAUGAGACAGACAUCAGACUGCGAUAAUAGGAGACACUCUUGCACCUGCUCCACUCCUGCUCCAAUUCUGCCUUCUCUCUCAUUGCUUGUCCCCACCUCCUUGGCUGCUGCCCCUUUGCUUCUGAGGUUGCCUCUGAUUCUAUGUCCAAUGUAGAAGAAAGUAUCAGGAAAGAAGAAAGUAUCAAGUACCAUAUUUCCCAAAUUGUAUGGACACCCAUAUUUCCCCAAUUACACCUUGGGGAUGGUGCUCUAACAGGAGUGAAUUAAUUGUGAGGAAAGUGGAUAGAAUAGUUUACAUAAGUGUUUGGAGAAAAUAGGAUGGAGGCUCGCUUUCUUUAUGAAUCAUAUUUGGCAGGGCCAGGUGCAGUGGCUCAUGCCUGUAACCCCAGCACUUUGGGAGGCCAAGGCGGGUGAUCACCUGAGGUCAGGAGAUUGAGGUCAGCCUGGCCAACAUGGUGAAACCCCAUCUCUACUAAAAAUACAAAAAAUUAACUGGUUAUGGUGGUGGCACCUGUAGUCCCAGCCACUCUGGAGGCUGAGGCAGAAUUGCUUGAACUUGGGAGGCAGAGAUUACAGGGAGCUGAGACCACGCCACUGCCUUUCAGCCUCAGCAACAAAGCACAUCUUGAUCCAAAAAAAAAAAAAAAAAAGGGAAGAAGGAGGAAGAAGAAAAUGAAUCAGACUUGGCAGAAUGAUUAAUUUUGGGUCACUUGCAACUCAAACGUGUAUAUGUUAGAUGUUUGGAGCACUUCUGGACCCAAAGGUGCAUCUUAUUCCAUCCCAGGGUUGUUAUACAAGGUUUGGACUCCUGCAGUCACUUUGCACAUCAGUGAGUCCACAGGAGGGAAGCUCCUGGGGUAAAAUGUUCUCACCAAUCCCAGCCACCAGCUUACUGCAACUUUAUGGUAUGGUGCGGGCUCAUUCAUUAGAGUUUAGUAAACGGAGAAGCUAAAUAAUGAUAUUGGGAUUUUGGCAUUAUAUGCUUGACAAGGAAAUGUUGUAUUCUGCCUUUAUUGAGUGCAUAAUAAAAAGUGUUCUCUUCCAAAUUACCUUACAAUGAUUGUAUAGCAAAUUCAAGAGGAUGUACUUUUACAAUAUUGACACAUGGGCUAGAAUGUAAACUUUAUUGUUAUGUUCACUGAUAUAGCUGCAAGAAUGGUUUUGGAACAUAAUGGGUGGGAAAUAAAUAUUUGUCAAAUAAAUGGCUUAACUGAGCAUACUGUGUAUAUAGAUAGCAUAAAAUUGAGUCAUUUUUCUGAUAUUUUAUGAGGUUCAAUUCUCACUCAAGUAAGUAUACUAUUUUUCUAAAUGAAGGGUUCAGAUUAUGGCUAUUUGUAAAUCACAAAUUCUGCAACAUUAGAUAUGGGUUAUAAAGUUUUCUUAUCUGUGAUCUGUUUAACAAAAUGUUUUCUAAGGAUUCUUUUCAUUUUAAAAGCCAACAGAUCUAUGAAUGUAGGUCAUUUCUCAAGCCUCUUUCACUUAUAACAUUCCAUAAUUAUUACAAAAGCAUACAAAAGAAGAAACACUCCUAUUGGCUACUUGAUACCUUACGAUAAGGCUUUAAAAAAUUCUUGAAAAGCAAUACCAACUCAUCUUUGGUGGUUAUUCAGACCAUCACCACAUACAAGAGAAAGGUUCAUUGUUGACCUCCGAAAAGCUGAUUUUUCAGAUGAUUCAUUAAUGAGAAGCAGUGAUAAUACUUUGCCAGUGGCACUUAGAGUGUAGUUGAGAAGACACACAAAAGCCAGUAACUAAUAAUUGCGAAUUGUGGAAAAUAAUAUGAAAGCCCAGCGUCCAGACUACCAGGACAAGAAGAAGCUGGGUUCAGGCAGAAGGUGAGCUAUUUUAGAUAGGGAGGCCAGGGAAGAUCUUUCUGAAAAAGUCUUACCUGAAAGAUGAGAAGGAACCAGUCACAUAAAGAAUAAGGGAUAAACAUUUCAGGCAGAGGACACAGUAUGAGCAAAUGAAUCCAAUUUCAAAGCUUCUUGCAUUUACAGAUGAAAUAAUAUGACCCCCAGGAUUUGCUUUAAAAAAAUUCAAUGGGAGGCAGGGAGGGAGAGGGGCAUCUGGUGGUAUAGAUAAACAAGAUAGGCCAUACAGUGGUGACUAUUGAAGCCGCAUGAUGGGUACAUAAAAAUUUAUUAUGCUCUUCUUGAAUAUGUUUGUAAUUUUCCCUAAAAUAAAAUCUUUUUUAAAAAGCC
Callithrix jacchus (white-tufted-ear marmoset) is the source of this 4857-nucleotide non-coding RNA. Lineage: Eukaryota; Metazoa; Chordata; Mammalia; Primates; Cebidae. The record is from RefSeq and is a predicted model, not a curated record.